RNAcentral lists this ribosomal RNA (112 nucleotides) under Nostoc flagelliforme FACHB-838. Its description in RNAcentral is "partial 16S ribosomal RNA". It matches the Rfam family "Bacterial small subunit ribosomal RNA", at positions 1 to 123 of the family's 1533-position model. The record is from RNAcentral. Lineage: Bacteria; Bacillati; Cyanobacteriota; Cyanophyceae; Nostocales; Nostocaceae.
AAAACGGAGAGUUUGAUCCUGGCUCAGGAUGAACGCUGGCGGUAUGCUUAACACAUGCAAGUCGAACGGUGUCUUCGGACACAGUGGCGGACGGGUGAGUAACGCGUGAGAA